Zingiber officinale is the source of this 2835-nucleotide RNA transcript. It is a transcript of the gene named transcription factor TCP24-like, with no coding region annotated. The record is from RefSeq and is a predicted model, not a curated record. The transcript has 5 exons. NCBI's taxonomy places the organism in Eukaryota, Viridiplantae, Streptophyta, Magnoliopsida, Zingiberales, Zingiberaceae.
AAGCUCGGGCAUUGCUGGGAUGGGAACAACUAGGGUUUCGGAACGCGAGCCCCCGCCAAUCGAUCGCCUUCCCUCGUCGCUUUUCUCGGGUGGAUUAAACUAGGAUUUAGCGAGGAAAGAAGCCCGAUUCCAGACGGCACCUACGACUUUGCGAGCUUAGAUCCUCAGUAUACCUUCCUUUAACUCAGUCGCAGUCGCGUUUCUUGGGCACAGAGGAUGUUGCGGAGAGGAGGAGAUCGAGGUACGAAAUGGAGGAUUCCUGUCUAAAGCGGGUGUAGCGGCCUGGGAAAGGACGGUUUUGGUCUCGUUCAGAGGAAGUAUAAGGCGGCAUUUGUGGAAGGAGCAGUCCGGAGUGCAAUCGGGAGGAAUGCAUGUCGAUCCGAGCUUGGCUGCUUCGAAUUGGGAGUAAGGAGCGAGUUUGAGAGAGGGAUUCCGUGGUCCGUGGUAGAUCUGGAGGGUUUUGCGCGCAGCAGCAUUAGAUCAGAAGGAGGUAAAAUUUUCCUUGGAGGAAAAGACUAAAAUUUUGAUGCGUAAUUGAUACCGAAGAGUCAAUUGCUGAGAUUUUUCAACAGCCAGGUUCUGUUCCUGUGUAGCUGCUGCUGUGUUGCAGGCGGCAACGCUGAUUUCUGGCCGCCUGGCGAACGCAAGCUACAGGAAGAGAGAGAAGAAGGCGGAGAACAGCUGAUCGCCGGAUACUAGUGCCAUCUCGAGCGUCCAAAGAAAACAUAUAGGACCUAGAGUUGACGCAGCUUCCCUCUCAGUCGCCCACAGCUUUCCAGAAAGGAGAUAAGUGGUAAAGAUAAAAAGGAGAGGCCGGGAAGGCAGUAAAGGCACUAGAAGAAGAUGGAAGUGGAGGAGAAUAACCAAGGCUGUAAGAGGACACGGGUGGUGGCGGCGGGUAACGGAAACCUAGCAGCCAAGAUAGGGCGGCGCAAGGAGCACCAGGACGAGGACGAGGAGGACGGCGAGAAGAAGGUAAGAGGAGUCGAUGCUAGCCGCAUCCCUCCCUGGCAGCAACAUCCGUCGUCGAGGAUUUUCCGCGUCUCGCGCGCAUCCGGCGGGAAGGAUCGGCACAGCAAGGUCUACACGGCGAAGGGCCUCCGGGAUAGGCGAGUGCGCCUCUCCGUCUCCACUGCCAUCCAGUUCUAUGACCUCCAAGACCGCCUCGGUUACGACCAGCCGAGCAAGGCUAUCGAGUGGCUAAUUAAAGCAGCAGGAGUCGCUAUCAAUGAGCUGCCUCCCCUCGAGGCGUUCCUGAAGCUGCCUCUUCCCGACGGGGAAGACGCCAUGAAGACGGAUCCGGAAGUAGAGCCGAGCUACAACCACUGCCAACAGCAGCAGCAGCAUCCGUCCACCAAAUCUGGAUGCAGCAGUACCUCGGACACCAGCAAAGGCUCGGUCUUGUCACUCUCUCGCUCCGAGAACCGCAUCAUGGCCCGAGAGCGAGCUCGAGAGCGAGCCGCCAAAGAUAAAGAAAAAGAUAGAGAUGAUGGCAGCCACAUUGUUGUUUCCGCCCAACAGGACAUGAACCCCCAGGCCUCUUUCACGGAGCUUCUCACCGGCGGUGGCAGCAGCAAUGGGGUCAACAAUAACGUGACCGUUGUCGCCACAGACGGCGAUCAUUCCAGGCACAAUUGCAUUCAGAAGCAAAUCUCAACGGCUGAUUACUUUGGCAAUGCUGCUCUCUUUCCCCAGUCUCAAAAGAGUCACCAGUUGCCUUCUGGGUUUUCCAACCAAUCUCACUUAGGAAACAGCUCUUCCAUGGGAAUGCUGCCUUUUAACAUUGCAGGUGCCGGCGACCAUCAAGAGAUGCAACAGUUCGCUUUCUUGCAGGACCAUUACUUCCACGUCUCAGCGGUGGCAGCGACAGGGGACUACAACCAUAACUUUUCAACUUCGUCUUCCGGCCUUGUGGGUUUCAACAGGGGGACCCUUCAGUCCAAUUCACCAGUUCAGUUGCCUCAGCAGCACAACCACAGUCAAAACCACCUACAGAGGCUCUCUUCCACGGUUGACGGAUCGAACCUCCAGUUCUUCUUCGGUGCUGGGGCAGGUUCCGCUACUGCUCCUAGCAAUGCAGAUAAUCAAUUUCCAUCUGGGUUCGACGGCCGUCUGCAGCUCUACUAUGGCGAAGGUUAUCGGCAGUCGGACCUGAAGGGGAAAGGAAAUACCUAAAAAAUCAUACAAUGAUGCAUCAUGCAAAUCGAUUUGCUGAAAUGCUUGAUAGGAUUAUCUCGUUCUAUUGUCAUCGGGUUUGUGAUGCAGGAACCAAUCAACUUAGCAUGAGGACUUCAAAUCUGUUCCUGCAAGUGCAUUACAAAAAUGUUUAUAUAUAUCCUGGAUGUUGCUCUACUAUUACUUAUGUUUAUCAUGUCUGAGACAAUUUUAUGCUACGAUGAUUUCAUCUUUGUAUGCUUCGUGAGAGAAACUGUCAUAUAUGCUGAGCACUCAUUUAUUGCUUAUUAUGUGUGGAUAUGAAGAUCAUCAGAGCGAACAAAGUUUGAGAUUUUGUUACUCCUAAUCUUCAGCUUGGAAUAAGGUGUUCAAUGUAAAGCGCGCUUGAUGUUUUCUUCUAUUGAGCUUAUCUUGGUGGUGGGUUUUGUCAUGUUUUCUAGCUAGCUUUUAUUAUAAUGUUCAGGGAACGUUUUUUUUCUAGUAGUAAAAAAUGAUUAUGUUCACAUGAAAUGUCUUACACUUGUAUGAAGGGGAAUAAAUUAUGGAGUCAGUUUAUAGUUAAAUAAUUAAAGGAUAAGAAGUUUUUUUUUCUAUUAUAGUAAAAUUGUUACUCUGUAAUUAAUUAUCCUAUGGAGACUGUCUAUGAGACUGUCCAAGUAA